This 678-nucleotide ribosomal RNA is filed under the name Candidatus Poseidoniaceae archaeon. RNAcentral's name for it is "bacterial SSU rRNA". It matches the Rfam family "Archaeal small subunit ribosomal RNA", at positions 1 to 694 of the family's 1478-position model. Lineage: Archaea; Methanobacteriati; Thermoplasmatota; Candidatus Poseidoniia; Candidatus Poseidoniales; Candidatus Poseidoniaceae. The record is from RNAcentral.
AAUCUGGUUGAUCCUGCCAGAGGCGACCGCUUUUGGAGUUCGAUUAAGCCAUGCGAGUCGAGAGCUUUCGGAGCUCGGCAUACUGCUCAGUAACACGUGGAUAACCUGCCCUAUUGUCUGGAAUAACCUCGGGAAACUGAGAACAAUACCGGAUAACCCACAAUGCCUGGAACGGUUUGUGGGUGAACUGAUAGGAUGGGUCUGCGGCGUAUCAGGUCGUAGGGGGUGUAAUGGACCUCCUAGCCAUCGACGCGUACGGGUGUUGGGAGACAUAGCCCGGAGAUGGAUUCUGAGACACGAAUCCAGACCCUACGGGGUGCAGCAGGCGCGAAAACUUCACACUGCAGGAAACUGUGAUGAGGGAACUCCAAGUGACUGCACAAUGUGUAGCCUUUUCUUGACUUUUAAUCGGUCUUGGAAUAAGGGCUGGGAAAGACCGGUGCCAGCCGCCGCGGUAAUACCGGCAGCUCAAGUGGUCGUCGCUUUUAUUGGGCCUAAAACGUCCGUAGCCUGUUUGGUAAAUCUGUGGGUAAAUCAACCAGCUUAACUGGUUGAAUUCUGCAGAGACUGCCAGACUAGGGACCGGGAGAGGUGUGGGGUACUCGAGGGGUAGGGGUAAAAUCCUGUCAUCCUUAGAGGACCACCAGUUGCGAAGGCGCCACACUGGAACGGAUCCGA